Long non-coding RNA from Micropterus salmoides (largemouth bass), 294 nucleotides. RefSeq lists it as uncharacterized. The record is from RefSeq and is a predicted model, not a curated record. NCBI's taxonomy places the organism in Eukaryota, Metazoa, Chordata, Actinopteri, Centrarchiformes, Centrarchidae. The transcript is spliced from 3 exons.
UCAGGAGUGAAGCUGCUAUGUGGUUUUCUGGAGAGUCCACACUGUAGACUGGAGAAUCUGAGAUUGAGUUACUGCAGUUUGUCAGAGAUCAGCUGUGCUUCUCUGGCCUUAGCUCUGAAGUCCAACCCCUCCUAUUUGAGAGAGAUGGAGCUGAGUCUCAACAAGCUACAGGACUCAGGAGUGAAGCUGCUGUGUGGUUUUCUGGAGGGUCCACACUGUAGACUGGAGACUGUGAGAUUGAGUUGCUGCAGUUUGUCAGAGAUCAGCUGUGCUUCUCUGGCCUCAGCUCUGAAG